GUACUCUCACACUCCCGAUCUUUGGAUUGGGAGCGGUGGACUUGGGUGUUGCUGCUUCACUGUGGCUCACCUCAAAUGGAUUCGUGCAACUCUUGGUUGGACAUAGUACGGCGUGAUAAGUGUCUUCGCCGGCACCUCAGUAUUGAGGGUGGCUGAUCAGGAGCUCUGUGCUUCAAACCGUCUUCGGACAACUCACUGACA
Molecule: unclassified non-coding RNA, 201 nt
Filed under: uncultured Sebacina
Lineage: Eukaryota; Fungi; Basidiomycota; Agaricomycetes; Sebacinales; Sebacinaceae
Description: sequence contains ITS2
Source: RNAcentral